CAGCCGCCACGGUAAUACGUAGGUGGCAAGCGUUGUCCGGAUUUAUUGGGCGUAAAGCGAGCGCAGGCGGUUUCUUAAGUCUGAUGUGAAAGCCCCCGGCUCAACCGGGGAGGGUCAUUGGAAACUGGGAGACUUGAGUGCAGAAGAGGAGAGUGGAAUUCCAUGUGUAGCGGUGAAAUGCGUAGAUAUAUGGAGGAACACCAGUGGCGAAGGCGGCUCUCUGGUCUGUAACUGACGCUGAGGCUCGAAAGCGUGGGGAGCAAACAGGAUUAGAUACCACGUAGUCCCUGUCUCUUAUACA
RNAcentral lists this ribosomal RNA (301 nucleotides) under uncultured bacterium. RNAcentral's name for it is "partial 16S ribosomal RNA". It matches the Rfam family "Bacterial small subunit ribosomal RNA", at positions 509 to 808 of the family's 1533-position model. The record is from RNAcentral.